This is a non-coding RNA of Petromyzon marinus (sea lamprey), 375 nucleotides long. Lineage: Eukaryota; Metazoa; Chordata; Hyperoartia; Petromyzontiformes; Petromyzontidae. The record is from RefSeq and is a predicted model, not a curated record.
CGCAGCUCACCACCCUCAAGUCUGUGGGGGCUCUGCGUCACCACGACCCGCCAUCUGUGCUUCUCUGACGUGGACAAUGUGGAGGCCUCCUUCAGUAAAAGCGGCAGCCCCAACGAGCUGAGAGCACCAGCGAGGCUGCUGUCCGACGCCCUGGUCCACUUCCACGGCGUCCACGAGGAGGUCUGCCUCACCGCCUCGCCCACUCACGUCACCCUUAGCAACGUGCCCCGACGAGGGCAUCGGUGGGUCGCCACGGCAACGCCCGCCUCACCGCCUCGCCCACUCACGUCACCCUUAGCAACGUGCCCGACGAGAGCGUCGGUGGGUCGCCACGGCAACGCCCGCCUCACCGCCUCGCCCACUCACGUCUCCCUU